Molecule: long non-coding RNA, 3185 nt
Organism: Hemicordylus capensis (graceful crag lizard)
Lineage: Eukaryota; Metazoa; Chordata; Lepidosauria; Squamata; Cordylidae
Exons: 2
Source: RefSeq, a predicted model, not a curated record
CUCCGUGUAGGCCUCAGUGAAGCCUGAAUUCGAGUAGGCUGGCAAGCCCCAGGAAGAAGGCUUGCAGUCAGAGUGGCCACUACAGUUCUCUGCAGCAGACCCUCUUCCCAGGCCAGACAGCUCAGCCUUUGCCAGGAGCUCUUGGGACCCCCUCUCCUCCUCUCUUGUCCCGAGAUUUGCCCUGAGGAGAGAUGGAGCCUGGAGGAAGUAAAAAGGGCCACUCACUGGUGCCAGGCCUGGAGAGCAGCGACAGAAAGCACGUCAUGCCCAGCAGCGCCAGGUGCGCCAAGACCCGGCAGCCGCGCAGCAGCCAGCGAAGACCGCGGCGGGUCCGCCAGCUUGCAGCGACGUCACCGGGCAUACUGGAGACAGCUUCCUCCGGUCCCGCCGCCGCGGGCUGGUAUUACAGAAGACGGAAAGGCUGGGUGUGGCUUGCAGCCGGCCACAACACACACCUGUCGGGGAGGGAGGGGCUUGAGGCUCAGAGGGCAGGGCAAUUACCCGAGGGCGACUAUUCUGCUGUGGGGAGGAAAGAAGACAGUGGUGGGGGCGCGAGCGAUUUCGAUUCCAGUCCACCUCGGUGGCAGGCAGCGGGUUUUAUUUGUUGUUUUAAAAAAAUAUUUAUUUCUUGUUAAAUUUAAACCCCGCCUUUCAUUAAGAAAAUCCCAAGGCGGCUUUGAUUCCGCCCCCACGCAUAGCUUCACUGGAGCCCGCCAGCACUUUGAUCCGGAUUGAACCAGGUUUUGACCCAGCAGUGUGGAGCAAUGAUCAUAACAGAGUGGUGCUGAGCGUGUGCAGAGUGCCUACUGAGUAACCACGACACCCGUCUCCAGACACUCUGGAAACUGAGCUUUCGCGGAGGGGUGCGGGAUUUCUAAGCAGGCUUGAAUCUCGGCAUCUCUCGCUUUAGAAAUGUAAGCACUGUUGUUAGAUGCCUUCAGGGGAGAAAAGGGGUUCUCCCUCACAUAUUUUCAUACACAUAGCAACCCUAAACAUUUACUAGAAAUGUUUAAGCCCUAUUGAAUUCAGAGGAACUUGUAAACAUGUUUCCAAUCGCACAGUGCUGGAGUGUAAUCAUCACCAGUCAUAAAUGGGGCUAUCGUCAAUUGUAAGGGGGCAUGCAGAUUUCAGUGGCGGGGUUUCACUCACAACGAAUACACAAACAUGGGAUCCUCCAAUUUCUUGCCAGUCAACUUUCAUGUUCAUUACAGGCUCCUCGGCCAUUUCAACACUUGUGCUAACUGAUGGCACCACUUAAGCCCUAGUCAGACUUUGUUAUAGGAGUGUGCAUAUACAUGUGUUUCUGUGAAUGACUGUAUCUGCAUUCAUUUUUAAAGUCAACCUGUGUACAGGUCUCUCAACUGCCUGAUACAGAUAGGAAGUAUACUGCUGCACCUGUGUUCAACACUAUAUGUGAAUAACUGUAACUGUGUAUACCAGUGUACACUUGUAAACAGUUGUACAUGCUUGUCCUGUGUACAGUCUACAUAAGGGCAGCUUAAGAGUUGUACAUCCAAAUGAGUAUACUGGGUCUGUGCAGUUUGGCAGGCAAUGGAGGCUGCAAUCCUAGGCACAGUGAUCUGAGAGUACACCCUGUUUAAAUCAGUGGGACUUAUUUCUUCGUAAAUUUGUGCAGGCAUAAGUUAGGAAGGAACAUCUUACUGCCAUGCUGAACACCCACAUUCUGCAGCUUUAUAGGGAAAAUAAACGUAAAGUUGUGCCAUCUAGUCAGUGUUGAAAAUACUGACUAUUAUUUAUCAAGUAGUAACUUAACAUGACAUACACUACUUGGUAAGCUGCUCAUCUCGUCAAAUGGUGUCUUGGCACACAUCUGUACCUGAUCAUAAACCCAGAGAAGCAGCAGGAGAGUGGCAGAAGUGCCCUCAUCACUUGGCAAGCAAGACUGUACAGAUGACUAGCUUACCAAGUUACAUAACUGUGCAUGUUGGAAGCUGCCUAAUUGGUAAGUGGUCAUCUGUAUCAUGACCUGUAGCGGUAUCAUAAGUGUGUGGAUCCAAAUUCUGCUUGAUUCUACUCACAUUCUCCAACUCACAUACUCCUGCUAACUGAGCAAACGGACACUUUUUAAAGUGGUGAUUCUCUUAUAUUUAGAAGGGGGUGGGGGGAGCAACUGGCCCUAUCAAACCCCAGCACAGCAUCCUUCCCGUGGCUGUUGCUGGUGUCUGUCUUAUGUUUCUUUUCUUAGACUGUAAGCCCUUUAGGGAUAGGGGGCCAUCUUAUUUAUGUAUUAUUUAUUUUUCUAUGUAAACCACUGAGAGAACUUUGGUCGAAGAGCAGUAUAUACAUAAUUGUCACAGUAGUAGUAGAAACAUGCUAACUUGCUCAUGUGAAUGAAUCAGGUUGGUAAUCCCCUGGUGAAAUGCUGCAAAUACCACCACCCCUCCUCCUAUUGCAGCAAAUCUUGAAGCCUUCGGACAUCUAAGUUGUUUAUCCCCACCUGAAGUAGGCCUCCUAUUUUGACAUUACUGCCAUCCAUCUUCCCCACCAACCAUUUGCCUGUGUCCUGUUUCCCUCCCCUUCUCCUCAGGCACAGACCCCUCUCAUGCCAAACCUGUCCUAUAGCUUGCAGUGACCUUUUAGGUCAUGACAGCUUCAGGCAGCAAUCGUGCUUCUUCACUUGGUGCUUCUCUCUGCAAGAACUCUGUACUAGACAGCCCUGUAUUUGGACUCAGGUUCCGUACUCCAUUCAUUAGUCCUGGUCUCCCACUGUCUCCUCUUCUUCAGGUUGACUGCAGCUGAGGUAGUGUCAGAUGCUGAAGCAGGCAAACAUCUCCAACUGUUAGGUUCAGGGUGGAAGUUCCACCUCAAAAGACUCUUGCUCCUAACUGCAAGCCAUUUCCUUAGGGAGUCCCAUUAAUGGCUUUUCAUUCCUGGGGUGUGGAGGAUGAGGCUAGCUUCACACUCCCCUCAAAAGUUCUAUCCCUACCUACCAUACAAUCUACAUGUUUAAGAUGCAGAUUGAGAUACAUGGAUAAGGGUUUUGCAUGUACACGUAAUUAAUGACAAAUUAUAUAUUGGAGCCAUGGAGACACACCCUUAUAAAACACAUCUCUCAAGUAAUUUAUUUUCCCAUAAGAGCUCCUUGAUGUAUUCAGCCAUUGGAGGAUUAAAUUUUUGUGCAACCGCUUAGGUUCUCUUAAAUAAAAAUAAAGACAUUCAGACAA